AUGUGGCUCAGUGGUAGAGCACUUGGCUAGCAUGCAUGAGGCCCUGGGCUCAAUCUCCAGCAU
This 63-nucleotide transfer RNA is filed under the name Cavia porcellus (domestic guinea pig). It matches the Rfam family "tRNA", at positions 5 to 66 of the family's 71-position model. From Rfam's summary of the family: Transfer RNA (tRNA) molecules are approximately 80 nucleotides in length. Their secondary structure includes four short double-helical elements and three loops (D, anti-codon, and T loops). Further hydrogen bonds mediate the characteristic L-shaped molecular structure. tRNAs have two regions of fundamental functional importance: the anti-codon, which is responsible for specific mRNA codon recognition, and the 3' end, to which the tRNAs corresponding amino acid is attached (by aminoacyl-tRNA synthetases). tRNAs cope with the degeneracy of the genetic code in two manners: having more than one tRNA (with a specific anti-codon) for a particular amino acid; and 'wobble' base-pairing, i.e. permitting non-standard base-pairing at the 3rd anti-codon position. Lineage: Eukaryota; Metazoa; Chordata; Mammalia; Rodentia; Caviidae. The record is from Rfam by way of RNAcentral.